This 164-nucleotide ribosomal RNA is filed under the name uncultured bacterium. RNAcentral's name for it is "partial 16S ribosomal RNA". It matches the Rfam family "Bacterial small subunit ribosomal RNA", at positions 355 to 511 of the family's 1533-position model. The record is from RNAcentral.
UAGGGAAUCUUCCACAAUGGACGAAAGUCUGAUGGAGCAGCGCCGCGUGAGUGAAGAAGGGUUUUCGGCUCGUAAAGCUCUGUUGUUAAAGAAGAACGUGGGUAAGAGUAACUGUUUACCAGUGACGGUAUUUAACCAGAAAGCCACGGCUAACUACGUGCCAG